This 21-nucleotide microRNA is filed under the name Python bivittatus (Burmese python). RNAcentral's name for it is "pbv-miR-1641-5p". The record is from miRBase by way of RNAcentral. Lineage: Eukaryota; Metazoa; Chordata; Lepidosauria; Squamata; Pythonidae.
UGGGAUCAAUGACCAUCUGGG